CAACUCAAAAGAGAUGCGGUAUAAAAGAGGAUUUGAAUGGAGACCUUGAAUCCUAGGCUGACAAGUCUGGACUUGAGUACAAAGAUAUAUUUUAACAUUUUCCUGAGCCACCGUUUGCCUAGGCUGCAUGACAUACCAAUUCUUAUGGAAGGACUCAGUGCUCACCAUCCUCGAAAACCUGAUUCAAAACCUAUCUUGCCAUUCUUGCGUAAGACCUACAUCUAGAGUCAUGUUUAAAACUUUUCCCCCAUUAGAAACCCAAUAUAUAAAAUAGACAAAAGUGAACUGCUCAGGCAAGAAGGGGAUGGGAAUAGCCAAGUAGAUAGGGGCGUAGAGUCCCUUUAUUUGUCCCCUACCCACUUGUUUUCU
Molecule: long non-coding RNA, 369 nt
Organism: Homo sapiens (human)
Lineage: Eukaryota; Metazoa; Chordata; Mammalia; Primates; Hominidae
Exons: 3
Source: RefSeq, a predicted model, not a curated record